CCAAUAGCGUAUAUUAAAGUUGUUGCAGUUAAAAAGCUCGUAGUUGAAUUUCGGGAUCGAAUUGUUGGUCGUGCUUCGGUACGCACUGGCAUUAUUGGUUCCUACCUUCUGAAGAACCGCGAUGUCAUUAAUUUGGUGUCGUGUGGAAUCAGGACUGUUACUUUGAAAAAAUUAGAGUGUUUAAAGCAGGCUUACGCUUGAAUACAUUAGCAUGGAAUAAUGAAAUAGGACGUUUGAUUCUAUUUUGUUGGUUUCUAGGAUCGACGUAAUGAUUAAUAGGGAUAGUUGGGGGCAUUAGUAUUCAAUUGUCAGAGGUGAAAUUCUUGGAUUUAUUGAAGACUAACUACUGCGAAAGCAUUUGCCAAGGAUGUUUUCAUUAAUCAAGAACGAAAGUUAGGGGAUCGAAGACGAUCAGAUACCGUCGUAGUCUUAACCAUAAACUAUGCCGACUAGGGAUCGGAUGAUGUUAAUUUUAUAAUGACUCAUUCGGCGCCUUACG
RNAcentral lists this unclassified non-coding RNA (499 nucleotides) under uncultured Glomus. Its description in RNAcentral is "SSU rRNA". It matches the Rfam family "Eukaryotic small subunit ribosomal RNA", at positions 591 to 1092 of the family's 1831-position model. The record is from RNAcentral. Lineage: Eukaryota; Fungi; Glomeromycota; Glomeromycetes; Glomerales; Glomeraceae.